AUCGCUUCUCGGCCUUUUGGCUAAGAUCAAGUGUAGCAUAUAUAUGAAAACAUUUGCUUACAAUCCUAUUCCCUAGAAAUAUAUUGGUAUACAUACUAUAGAGUCCACUUUUUGCUAGCUUCAGAGAUAAAUUUUCCUUAAGAAUUUCCUCUGUAUUCUGUGCUUUCUCUCUGAUUAUUGGGUUUAGCCGUAGGCUGACU
This is a non-coding RNA of Fukomys damarensis (Damara mole-rat), 200 nucleotides long. The record is from Rfam. Lineage: Eukaryota; Metazoa; Chordata; Mammalia; Rodentia; Bathyergidae.